CUGGGAGGACCAUCUCCUAAGGCUAAAUACUCUCUAGUGACCGAUAGUGAACCAGUACCGUGAGGGAAAGGUGAAAAGCACCCCGGAAGGGGAGUGAAAUAGAACCUGAAACCGUGUGCUUACAAGUAGUCAGAGCCCGUUAAUGGGUGAUGGCGUGCCUUUUGUAGAAUGAACCGGCGAGUUACGAUUUGAUGCAAGGUUAAGCAGUAAAUGUGGAGCCGUAGCGAAAGCGAGUCUGAAUAGGGCGUUUAGUAUUUGGUCGUAGACCCGAAACCAGGUGA
This 281-nucleotide ribosomal RNA is filed under the name Staphylococcus aureus. Its description in RNAcentral is "partial 23S ribosomal RNA". It matches the Rfam family "Bacterial large subunit ribosomal RNA", at positions 444 to 728 of the family's 2925-position model. Lineage: Bacteria; Bacillati; Bacillota; Bacilli; Caryophanales; Staphylococcaceae. The record is from RNAcentral.